Regulatory RNA element from Firmicutes bacterium CAG:308, 212 nucleotides. It matches the Rfam family "T-box leader". Rfam says of the family: Uncharged tRNA acts as the effector for transcription antitermination of genes in the T-box leader family. T-boxes are found upstream of many aminoacyl-tRNA synthetase genes and some amino acid biosynthetic genes usually in Gram-positive bacteria. The anticodon of a specific tRNA base pairs to a specifier sequence within the T-box motif, and the NCCA acceptor tail of the tRNA base pairs to a conserved bulge in the T-box antiterminator hairpin. Lineage: Bacteria; Bacillati; Bacillota. The record is from Rfam.
CAAAACUCAAGGAAAAAGAGAGUAGUCAUAAGACGUAAAAGAAGCGAGCUGAUGAUGGUGAAAGAUCAGCAUACAAAUUAUGGUGAACCGCACUUUGGAGAGGGAUAUCUGAACAUAGAGUAGGAUAUCAAGUUGUCUACUUUACAGACUAGAGGUGGUCAUAGCUAGGCUAUGGCAAAUAGAGUGGUACCGCGAUACAUGUCGUCUCUUGA